Molecule: long non-coding RNA, 1984 nt
Organism: Magnolia sinica
Lineage: Eukaryota; Viridiplantae; Streptophyta; Magnoliopsida; Magnoliales; Magnoliaceae
Exons: 3
Source: RefSeq, a predicted model, not a curated record
UCCAACACUUGGAUACAGGUGUUUGUAAAAUCUUAAAAUAGAUAUAAGGCCUCCUAGUUUCAUUGUUGGGGAACAUGACUCUUGGAAUACAGAUAAUUUCUUUGAUGUCCUGCUCCCGGUUCUUGUGGUCGUAGUUUGAUGCAGCUCUCCUCACAGUUCAUGGGAUGACCAGGGCCAUUGAUCUGGUGGUCCAGUAUGUGGAUGUGCCAUGUACAGCAAAGCAAGGAAUUGGACUGUGGUGUCCCUCAAUCAGCCGCCUGCAAAAAGGAAUGGCCAGAGACCGUCUGUGUUCAACCCCGCAGAACUCAUGACUGUAUGGACACUAUUGUCUGAUUGCAACGUUCGGCCUAUGGUUCAUCCAAUUGGUGGCCCACCACAUGAUGGGCCUUCACCUUGUGGUAAAUUACCACGUGUACUGUAAGGAGGGACUGUUGGAUGGAACUUAAAUUGCCUCUAGCUUUCUUGUUUUCUGUCUGUUUUUUACUUUUUCCUUCUGUUUUAGGCCUCUAUCUUUGCUUUUUGAUAAUACUCAUCUUUCAAAAUAAAAAUAAAAAUAAAUUGGGUUCCUUGUCAAGUCAAACUUACAUAUUUUGUGAUUUAGUUCAUUGCAUGGAUUUAAGUAGUGGGCUGCUGAAACCAGUACAAGUCACUCUGUAUCAUCGGUCCAAUGCAAGGAUCUUCAUUGUAUCAUGAUGUAAAGUUCAAACAAAACUGUUAUAUGAGGAAUUUUAUUGUAUCAUGAUUUUACAUGGUAUUGGUGCAUGUUUUUCUAGGCGAAUCAUGUUCCCUGUUCUGUGCAGCAAGUAUGUGAUUUCUACUACCUUUCCAAAAAAAACAAAAAAAAAAAAAAAAAAAGAAAGAAAGAAAGAAAAAAAAAACUACUGAAUCAUGAGAUCAUUGAUUUUCUUCAAUGUUAAUGUUGGUCGGAAUGUUUUUAGUUUGGGACCUUGGAUUGUAAUAUAUCUAUCUACUUUAUCAUCAAAGUUUCAGGAUCCAUGGAUUAUUCUGCAGUUCACAUGGCUUGUGUCUGGCAAGGAUUUUCUUUUUUAUGAAACAAAACACAAUACUGGAUCACGACUUUCGAAGUUGAAUCGUGUUUCCUGUUCUGUGCAGUGAGCACAUGAUUCCAACUGAAUCAUGAGAUCAUUGAUAUUCUUCAAUGCUAAUAUUGGUUGGAUAGUUUUUAGGUUGGGACCUUUUGUUGCAUUUGAAGGAUACCUUGGAGAUAGUAUAACAAAUGUGUUCCGGCAUAUGCCCAUUCACUUCACUUCACCUUUAUUUACUAGUUUCCCAUUUCUAAUCUAAUGAUGGUCAGUCUGUUAGAGCAUCACAUUUCUUAAUAGGUUCUUGUUAAUCUUCAUUGGUUGCCUGCUUGUAUUCUUCCUUACACUUUAGAAGUGUCCUUCAGCUUCUACCCAAUUCACACCUCAAAAUGUACUUUCAUUUAUUAUUUAUUUUUAAAUCUCAACAGCAAGCAAUAGCUCUGUUAAAAGAUCAUGAGUCACUGGUGUCAACUUACCAUAGAAGAAAAUUGCAAUUUGAAGGGAGAGACCUAGGUAAAUUAAAAGAACCUUAUUCAUUAACACCUACCAUUAGUCGGCUGUAUUUGUAUUCAUUGCCCCCCAGUGAAUUAUUUGCUUAAUUUUCAAAUGACACAGCUUAAAGUGAUGAAAGGGUGGUGUUGCUUUAGAUGUUUUUUUUUUUUUUUUGUUAAUGUGAAAAUGAUACACUUACAAGUCCAGUAGUAGCUCGAACUUUGAAAGUAUUCAUGACCUCAACAUUACCUUUUCAGGAGCGUUUUCCAGAAGCAGCGCGAUUACACAUUUUCAGGGUUCUCCUGAGUCAGCAGUAGAAAUGAGGAGAGGUUUGAUUUCGGUUGAGUAUUACAAGAAUGCCUCCACAGGUAACACUUGUAGCCCUGGUUCUGGAUCUCCCACCUUAAAAAGCAUCUUGUCACUGCCAGCUAUGUUAGUGAUACCAUGUC